This 1173-nucleotide ribosomal RNA is filed under the name Triticum aestivum (bread wheat). RNAcentral describes it as "partial small subunit ribosomal RNA". The record is from RNAcentral. Lineage: Eukaryota; Viridiplantae; Streptophyta; Magnoliopsida; Poales; Poaceae.
AUGGUCUGCGAGGUCCUCGCACGCGUCAAGGACGAGGGCGACCUCUUUACCUGUGCCAGGACGUGCAGGCGGUGGAGCUGCCUCGCGGCCGACGUCCGGCGCCGCCGCUGGCCGGACCACAGGUCUUCGUUCCUCUCUGGGUUCUUCAUUGCGAAAAGUUCUGCGAGGUCCCUCUUCCUGACGCCGGCAUCCGUGUUCGGGCGUGAUCGCCGUCUCCUCCGUUCCUUCUUCCCCGACGCCGCCAGUGGCCUCCUCGAACGAGCAACGCCCCUUGCCGCGCGCCAUGGGCUGCUCCUCGUGCGCCUCCCUUCCUCCGGUGCCCUGCUUCACCUCGCCGUGUGCAAUCUGCUUGCCGGCUCAUGCGACGUUCUGCCCCCGCUGGAGAGUGAUUGGAAGUACCGUGAUAGUGGCUAUGCCAUCUUGACCAGCGCAGACUGCUCCUCAAACGGCGAGCAGAAAUCUUCGUCGUCAUAUUCAUCGGGCUACUCGGCUUUGUUCAAAGUUCUGGUCAUCUGCAGCAAUAGCGAUCACCAACCGUGCACCCUCCACACAUUCUCAUACAGCGAGGCGUCGUGGAACAUGCCUACAGAAAUAGUUUUCAACCCUACCAAGGUUGGCAUCUGCGGGCCGUUCAUGCAUCGCAACGCCGUUGUGUGCCACGGCACCGCACACUGGCUCUUUGGGUGGGAUUUCUUGCCUCCUUAUGCUUCUAGGUUGCAUACUAUUGAUGUGGAUGCUGAGACAUGCCAAGUCUCCCUAACUAAGAUCGUGAGCCCGAUCAUACACAAUGUACACAUAUACGAUGAACCACAGCUUAGUGUUGCUGCUAACGGGGCACUAUCAUUGAUUUACAUGGAAAGGCCAGGCAAUAAUGUGCAAGGAUUCCGGCUAAAAAUAUGCACACGGAAAGAUGACGAAAAAAGCGAGGAUGAUGGUCCUGUAGGAUGGCUUUAUAGUCGAGUCGUUGAGCUAAAACCACCCAACCAGAUUCGAGCAGAAGGCCUGCACUUGACCUUUCUGGGAGAGAAGGGUGGCACGGUGGUUGUCAGGGACAACUACAUGAACUUCUACACUGCUGAUCUUGAGACAGGAGUGAUGGAGAAGUUGAUCUAUCACGGCCGUGUUAGUAGAUGGAUGUUCAUGCCCUUUGAGAUAUAUUGGCCGACAUUCUAA